GGUACUCACGGCUGAUGGCACAAACUUUGUUUAAACAAAUCUAAAUAUAGUAUCAAACCAGACCGUACUGGUGCGUUGUGAGUGAACAGAUAUUGGAGAUGUUACUCGUUUUAAAAGUAUUUGUGUGUUCGUGAUCAUCCGUGUUUUGUGCAGUUAGAUUACAUCCUGAAGUGGAAUUUGCAUUAUUUCAACUGACGUGUGUAAUAAGUGUGAUUAGUGGCAUACAAGUAGCAGUCUCUACAUCGAAUUUGCCCAGAGUCCACGGCCACAACUCAAAGAUACCACGACUGGUGAAGGCAAACAAUGAAAAGCAACAACCAUUAUCCGAUGAGCCUGAGGCCGACGAGUUUGCCGGAGACGUGGAGG
Long non-coding RNA from Manduca sexta (tobacco hornworm), 366 nucleotides. RefSeq lists it as uncharacterized. Lineage: Eukaryota; Metazoa; Arthropoda; Insecta; Lepidoptera; Sphingidae. The transcript is spliced from 3 exons. The record is from RefSeq and is a predicted model, not a curated record.